ACAAUCCAACCAUUUUAUAGAGUUGUGGUUCUAGAGUAAGGAAUUUCAUAAGGCAGGAGAGUCCCUACCAUGUGAAGCAGAAUACAAAAGCAGCAUGAUUAAUUGCUGGGCCAAUGCAGGGGACAUGUACAUAAAUUAAUGAAAUACUCCAAAAAUAUAGCAAACUGCUGUUGCUACUUAAUGGUCCUGAAUCUCCAGAGGAGAAGGCCCCGAAUCCUCGGGUUUGCUUGUUGAUCGGCGGCCGGGGCGGGGUCCAAGUGGUCGGAGAGGCUGUAUUGGAGGGGCUGGUCAGAGGCUCGAAGUUUUCGGACGGACUCAGAGUCGGCUGUGGUCGGGUGCUUCCAAUGCAAGUUGUCAGCGCUUGGAAGUUCAUGGCAGGGAGAGUUUCUCCCUUCUGCCGCCUGCGUUAGAUGAUUAAUUGGAGAAUCCACUAACUAUUCAGACUUCCCAUGGCUUGACAUCUGGUUCACCAUCUGAAAUUCCCAUUGUUCACUUUUGGUUCUGGUGAAAGCAAAGAAUGAGGCAAACAGACAAGUUCGGCUGCUCAAACUAAUGCCUUUUUAAAAGGCACCAGUGAUUACCUCUGAUUCCAGAAUACCGCAUGAAGAUUAAAAUGCUGAAGUUCUCCAUCAGGAACAAUUAAACUCGGAUCAAAUAAAUCACCACUUCUCCAAUUAAGAGCAAAAGCAUCAAUUUUCACCAAAUAACCAAAAGUGAAAAACAAAAU
Long non-coding RNA from Mobula hypostoma (lesser devil ray), 727 nucleotides. RefSeq lists it as uncharacterized. The record is from RefSeq and is a predicted model, not a curated record. Lineage: Eukaryota; Metazoa; Chordata; Chondrichthyes; Myliobatiformes; Myliobatidae. The transcript is spliced from 3 exons.